Small nuclear RNA from Ochotona princeps (American pika), 105 nucleotides. The record is from Ensembl. Lineage: Eukaryota; Metazoa; Chordata; Mammalia; Lagomorpha; Ochotonidae.
GUGCUCGCUUCGGCAGCACAUAUGCUAAAAUUGGAACGAUUCGGAGAAUAUUAGAAGGGCCCCUGCGCAGGGUGGACAGGCAAUUCUGUAAGCGUCCAUAUUUUU